RNAcentral lists this ribosomal RNA (745 nucleotides) under uncultured bacterium. RNAcentral's name for it is "bacterial SSU rRNA". It matches the Rfam family "Bacterial small subunit ribosomal RNA", at positions 33 to 773 of the family's 1533-position model. The record is from RNAcentral.
ACGCUGGCGGCAUGCCUUACACAUGCAAGUCGAACGGCAGCACGGAGCUUGCUCUGGUGGCGAGUGGCGAACGGGUGAGUAAUAUAUCGGAACGUACCCUGGAGUGGGGGAUAACGUAGCGAAAGUUACGCUAAUACCGCAUACGAUCUACGGAUGAAAGUGGGGGAUCGCAAGACCUCAUGCUCGUGGAGCGGCCGAUAUCUGAUUAGCUAGUUGGUAGGGUAAAAGCCUACCAAGGCAUCGAUCAGUAGCUGGUCUGAGAGGACGACCAGCCACACUGGAACUGAGACACGGUCCAGACUCCUACGGGAGGCAGCAGUGGGGAAUUUUGGACAAUGGGCGAAAGCCUGAUCCAGCAAUGCCGCGUGAGUGAAGAAGGCCUUCGGGUUGUAAAGCUCUUUUGUCAGGGAAGAAACGGUGAGGGCUAAUAUCCCUUGCUAAUGACGGUACCUGAAGAAUAAGCACCGGCUAACUACGUGCCAGCAGCCGCGGUAAUACGUAGGGUGCAAGCGUUAAUCGGAAUUACUGGGCGUAAAGCGUGCGCAGGCGGUUUUGUAAGUCUGAUGUGAAAUCCCCGGGCUCAACCUGGGAAUUGCAUUGGAGACUGCAAGGCUAGAAUCUGGCAGAGGGGGGUAGAAUUCCACGUGUAGCAGUGAAAUGCGUAGAUAUGUGGAGGAACACCGAUGGCGAAGGCAGCCCCCUGGGUCAAGAUUGACGCUCAUGCACGAAAGCGUGGGGAGCAAAC